ACAGGACUUGAUGCUGGCAGUGUAAUGCUGCAUGUGCUCGGUCUCCGUCAAAUCCACAUUACACCUGUGCACUUUCAAAGCUCUGUAGUCCUCCGUAAUGGGAGCCGCGAUUGUAAUGAUUGCUGGGGCUACACCUUUGCCCAUACACUCAUAAACUUUGUAUAUUGUCUUGUAGAAUGUCUAAUGGCCUUUGAUGGCUUAACAUAAUACAACUUUCAACAACGGAUCUCUUGGCUCUCGCAUCGAUGAAGAACGCAGCGAAAUGCGAUAAGUAAUGUGAAUUGCAGAAUUCAGUGAAUCAUCGAAUCUUUGAACGCACCUUGCGCUCCUUGGUAUUCCGAGGAGCAUGCCUGUUUGAGUGUCAUUAAAUCAUCAAUUCUCGACUUCUGUAAUGGUUGUUGUUGAAUUGGACUUGGGGACUUGCUGGUUCUAUCUGAACCGGCUUCCCUCAAAUGCAUUAGCUGAAGUCUUACAAGCAGCGUAUAUGUGGUGUGAUAAUAUCUUCACUGUAUUGCUCUUGUUGAAUUCGGCUUCUAAUGGUCCUUCAAUUGGACAACACUUUGACAAUUUGACCUCAAAUCAGGUAGGACUACCCGCUGAACUUAAGCAUAUCAAUAA
This 618-nucleotide ribosomal RNA is filed under the name Lyomyces crustosus. RNAcentral describes it as "eukaryotic LSU rRNA". The stretch from base 211 to 364 matches the Rfam family "5.8S ribosomal RNA". The record is from RNAcentral. Lineage: Eukaryota; Fungi; Basidiomycota; Agaricomycetes; Hymenochaetales; Schizoporaceae.